GCCGACCUCAGAGCAGGUGAGACCACCCGCUGAAUUUAAGCA
This 42-nucleotide ribosomal RNA is filed under the name Ceriagrion cerinorubellum. Its description in RNAcentral is "partial 28S ribosomal RNA". Lineage: Eukaryota; Metazoa; Arthropoda; Insecta; Odonata; Coenagrionidae. The record is from RNAcentral. RNAcentral also lists the same sequence under 1 other name.